This 1494-nucleotide long non-coding RNA is filed under the name Struthio camelus australis. RNAcentral describes it as "lncRNA (ENSSCUG00000001764.1)". Lineage: Eukaryota; Metazoa; Chordata; Aves; Struthioniformes; Struthionidae. The record is from RNAcentral.
UUAAGAGAGAGAGAGGAUAAACAUCAAAAUAGCUUCUCAUUGGAAAGACUGUGGAAUAAUCUAAUACGUGAAGACACGGAAGUCCGAAACAAAUGUAGUAUAAAUUCCUUCCCAGAGUCUUUGCAGAUACAAGCAUCGGCCACAAUUAACUUCAGAAGCUGAAUAUUUCUAAGCAACUGGUAUCAGCUUCCAGAAGAAGCUGGGGGCAGGGGGAGAGGCAGGUUAAAAGGGAUAGUUUCCAGAUAAUUCGGUGUUAACACUCAUUCAAAAGCAUGUAAGGGGAGGAGACAAAAGAACACUUUUAUUUUCAGUUCGGUGUGUGAAGUGAGCACACUGGAACCCCCCAAAAGUGCAGUUCUGGCAAUCUAGACAGUAGCCUGUUCCUGGAUGGAUAGUUUUCCGGUCGAGACAGAUAGUUGGUUUAAAUCUGCCUCAGGUCUGAAGUGACUGGAAAUCAACACCAGAUAAUGGCUGUUUGGUAGAUGAUGUGACAUGGGUUAAUGCACUCGGCCAAAUUUCUACUGGAUAUUGGACAUGCGCUCACAUUACAAAUGCUUCCAACAGCAUGCUCAGUAUUAAAUUAACAUCUAUGCUGACAAUCUUGCCAAAGAAAUCCAGAAGAGGAUGGACAUUAGUGAUGAACUGCACGUUCACCUUUGGAGUGAAGUCAUUAGCAAGCUUUCGUCAUGUGGCUGGAGCCAACUCUCCCGAAUUUGCAAAGAUCGACAGCUCCAGAGCUCACUGGGCCCCAUCCAACGCUCACAGGCCGUGAUGGAGGCAUUUCCAUGGAGCCGGACAGACGGUGGAUCACGACCCGGACUCAGGAGAAAUUGCUUUGAAGGAAUGGAGUCCAGUGAUUCACCCCAGAAGCACCUCCAGAAGCACCUGGGCACAUCCUCAGAGGGUGUAAAUCAGCAUGAAACCACUGAGUUUGGCAGAGAUGCUUUAUACUAGCCAAGGAUCUCGGCUGGCCCAGACAGCAACAUAUGCACCCUCAUCAGGAGAGGAGCAGUUGGACUGAAGGGCUGGGGGUGGAGGAGUCAUUUUUUGGGUUGUUUGGGUCUGUCCAAAGGGGUAGGAAAAGUUACACGGUCUCAUGGAGUCUGAGGAGGACUGAGGUGGAUGCAGCAGAGGGAGGCUGUGCCUGGGUACGGUGGGCAUGGAGAAAAGGAAGGAAGUCGGAUGCACCAGACAUAGCCACGGGAGGAUGCCACCUUCUCCUCUGGCAGGAGGCAGAGCUAAAAGCAGCUGGGGGGAGGAGGGGGGUUGUCAAAAUGGCAAUGAGACAGAGCAGCUAACAGGGGUUGGCAGGAGGAGGAAAGGUCCAUCCCCCGUACCGUUUUCCUUUGCUUCUCCUCAACAUUUCAGUAUGUGUCUCCCCUAGAACAUCUUCAUGUGUCGCCUACUGCCCAUAUGGUUCAGUUCUCCCCAAACAGUUCAAAUCCCCGUGAAGCUGGCAAUACAAACAACAAUAAAGCUCAUGUUGGUCUAGCA